CUUUGCUCAAAGCACCACAGGGUAUCUUUCGACUUCUUGGUCUCUCCCACUAGAUAAUAAUUUCUAAGAAAUGAAGAACCACAUUUAUAAUGAUAUCUCCAUUGUGCAUUGCAGGAGACCCAUAAAAAUUCAUGGAAGGAAUGACUAUGAAUGAAUGAAAGGCUACAACCUGUACUAGGCUUAUGCUGGUCCCUCCAAAUUAGAUCCAGCCCAGCCUGCUGAGUGCUGCCCGGAGAAGGACUGUCCAAAUCAGUGCAAAAGGCACCUCUCAGCUUCCGUCAGCUUGUUCAUCCAGGAGAGGCUCCAUCUUCGAGGUCAGCUUACCCUCUGGAGAGAGAGGGAUCCCGAAUCAGAGAUGAAGCACCUUACGAGAAUGACGCCUGGAUGGAACACAAUAAGGAGAGGAAAGGGAGAGAGACAGACCUCAUCACUACAAGGUUAUUAGGCUUCAAGACUGCAAAUUUGAGAGAAUUAAGAAAUCUAAUCAGCCUGGUGCACUAAGAGGGAAGCUGCAAACUCCCGGGUGUGGAAGAAAGCCGGAGUAUCCUGAGGGAGAUCCUAAUUAAAGCACCGCCGAUUACAAUUCCUCUGAAAAAGGAAAGUGAAAGGACCAAGAAACAUCUGCUGUGGAUUCAUGAAGGACUGCUCAAGGAUGCAGAGUGUGAGAAAAACUCUUGACAGCGCUGAAGAGGCACAGCGCCUGUUUGUUCUCCAUCGGGCAAAGCUGGUGGAGAUGGGGCCUGGCAAUGCAGAGGCUGUGGUUUAGGAUUGUUUUAGCUGAUGGGGCAUCGUAAAAGGGAAAGGGGACAAGACUCCCUGUGCAGCCCAGAAUGGCCAAAUCAUCCCUGCAGUUCUCCUCAGGUUGCCUGGCAACCCCCUCUCAAGGGUUGGCUCCGGGCCCGUUCCCUGCUAUAUCCCUAAAAAGAAGUUUAGACCUGACUCGCGUAAGUGCUCAGAUUUCCUAGAUGUACCCUUGGAAUUGCUGAGCUGGAAGAGAACUCAGAAGUCGUACAACCCAAUCUCCCACAAAUAUAGAAACAGCAACUGUAAAAGCCCAGAAGAGACCCUAUCUCACAACGGAAGCCGAUAAUGAUGAGUGCUCACUUCUUCAAAUUCUCUUGUAUUUAUGGCAAGAGCAAAUGAACCCCUUUAAGGAUUUUCCUCCCUAAUGAAGAGAGAUGCCUCAGUGUCACACAGCUGGUAAGUGGCCCCAAGCUCUGCUUGUUAAACAUCCUAUCUGUUAAAAUCAUAGCAUCGCUCUGUGGAAAAAUGGAAUUGCAGAACUGGAAGCUAAUUUAGAAAUUAAGCACUCAUGUUGAGAAAUCAAGAUGGACUCAGAGCUUCUUUUUCUUUAUGUUUUUGUGUUUUAUUCUUCCACUCCAGUUUUGAAUGCCUCUUAAGAGACAACUUUUGUCUUACUGUAAUUGAUCAGGAUAGGCAUUCUGACAGCUGGUAAUUGUCAUGGCAAUAUCUACAGGGACCAACCAGAUCUGGAGCCACCAGGGAGGAUGGGUGAAGCGUGGGAACCAAGAUGGAAGGAGUUGAGCCAACUGUGGGCCUGCCCAAGUCUUUUCUUUUAUUCUCUUUGAAUGUGAGGUGAAGGGUCGAUGCUGUUGCCAUAUUGUGAACAAUGAG
RNAcentral lists this long non-coding RNA (1635 nucleotides) under Sus scrofa (pig). Its description in RNAcentral is "lncRNA (ENSSSCG00035022873.1)". Lineage: Eukaryota; Metazoa; Chordata; Mammalia; Artiodactyla; Suidae. The record is from RNAcentral.